Sapajus apella (tufted capuchin) is the source of this 6020-nucleotide RNA transcript. It is a transcript of the gene named single-pass membrane protein with coiled-coil domains 4, with no coding region annotated. NCBI's taxonomy places the organism in Eukaryota, Metazoa, Chordata, Mammalia, Primates, Cebidae. The transcript has 3 exons. The record is from RefSeq and is a predicted model, not a curated record.
AGGCGGGAGACGCUGGUUCUCUGAGGACGCCGAGAAUGGGGUGCGCUCAGGGUUUCUGGAAGUGGACAAGAGUCCGGCCGGGGGCCCUGCGGGUGAGAAGGGUGGGACCCAGGGGGUCGGGGUGUAGAGGUGCGGCGGGGCGGGAUAGUGCCUUCUCCUCCCCCGCCCUGUCUUGGCAGACCCUGAGACCCGGGGCAGGCUCAGAGCUGGGGACGCCUAUGGCUCUGAAGACCCAAGGGGGAGUUCCUGUACGGGGUGGGUGGAGGAGGGAGCUCAGCAUUGCUUCCUCUGUCGCCGGCGCGGACUACCGCCCCUCCCCAGCGGCCAGAUUCACCUCAGACUGCAGUGCUUUUGCCCUGGAUAAGUUGAGGAACUGCUGAGCGGAUGAGAUGUUUGGGCUGUUGCAAGAUGAGUGGGAUUAGGCUAUAUGAUAUCAUAACUAUCAACCGGAGCUGUCUGAAAACACUCGCAUAUCCACUCAUCCAGUCAGUACUGCUUACUGCUAAGCCCCAGCUUCCCUUACUCUUUAAGAGACACCUCUAGGUCUCCAAAGCCCAACAGCGCAUCUGCUCACAGCUUUGAAGGUGGCAAGAGUGGCCUGCUAUGUGUCUGCGUAGGUUGGUGCUUUCAGGAACAAGUGGUUCUGGAGGUACUGGAUGCUUUAUUAGAACAACCUGUGUGGUGCCCCUUGCCAAUGGAGAUGACUCAUGUUGGCUUCCCCCCCCCCCCCAAAUAAACUUUGUAUUCAAGACACCAGUAUGCCUGGUCAUUUGCAGCAGUAAUCCAGCAAGAGACCCAUUGGAUUUCUUGAGCCCGUGUUGUCGUCCCAGAUGUGUCAGCAAGAAGUUUGACCUUGGAUGAGUCACUUGCCCUCUUUGAACUUGUGUUUUCUUAUCUGUCACAUGGGGUAUAAAGAGAGAGCCGCACAGACUGAUGGAGACAGGAGUAGGUUUCUGAGGGACACAGUGAAAUCUUUUUCCUUGUAAGGCUGGAUUUGCCACACAAAAUAAGCCUCUGCUUGUUCUUAUAAAGAAAUUACGAUAGAUUUAAAAGAAAAUAUGAGAAGCAAGAAAGAUUGCACAAAGCAAAACAACAAAAAACUAAUAAUAGUUGGUAUUAGAUUUACAGCAUGAAUACUGUUUUAUGCUUGCAGUUAGUGUACUUGGUUGUCCCGCUGUCUUUACUAUAAAGUUGCUCAUUGUGCUUAGAAAAUAUGUGUUUCACCUGUGGACCCGAAUUUUUUCUUAUUUUUUAACCUUCAAGCUUGGAGUGGACGCUCAGUUGGAUUGGUCUUGCUGAGGUUUGCCUGAAGAACAUCCUCAGGGUCUCUCACUGCUAUAAUCUUACAGGUUUCCUUCUGUCUGACUGAGGCUGGGAUCCUUGUACAACUAUGCUUCUGCCAUCUUUUCCAUUCUGGCUUGAGAAGUGGUGAGCUGGUUCCUCUCGCCUCUGACAUGUCCGGGCUUCCCAGGUGUCUUUUCAAAUGAGUGUAGUAAAAGGCAAUCAGAGUGUUAGAUGCAGCACGUUAACAAUUGCUCCAGGCAAUCGUGUGUCCCUUCCACUCCACCCCUGUUCCUUAGACCCUCUGGGCAACUUCUCACUAGAACUUCCUGGUCUUAAGCUGGCCUUGACGUUUAGGAUGCUGAGGGCCAUCACAGAGUUGAAAUGACUUGGCCAGGGUCAAACCGCACAUUGAUGAUCAAGCCAUGGUUUUGGAAGAAGAGGAUUUUAUUUUUAUUUUUAUUUUUUAAGGAUUUUUUUUUUGUACUUUAUUAUAACCUAAUGUUCCUAUACUUGUCCAUUAGUAGCUUUUAAAAUCCAUAAUGGGUUUGAUCACAUCACUUUCAGUAAUCCUUUUUUUGUCAGCUUUUUGGAAGUUGCAGUUAGUGGUUAUCUCUUGAGUUUGAGGUAGUGGUAUUUUAUUAUUAAACAUUUUUUUUUUUUUCAAAAUUUUUAAAAAACUGCUUUCCUUUUCAGACCAGAUGAGGUAGUGGUAAAAACGAUACCAUCUCCAACAAGUAAAGGCUUGACUAAUUAGGUUAAGUCUUUAAAAUAUCAAAUGUGUAUAAAUUUUAAAAUAUCUGUGGGUACAAAUUUUACUUUAAUUGAGAAGUAUGAAUAAAAAUCAUAUCGUCACCAUUGGAGCCCCUGCCAUUGACCAGGGAUUGUGAGGUGGGAGCCAGCUUCAUUUUACAGGAGAGGAAACAAACCCGAGAGACGGCACAACUCUGGCACAGCUGUCAUGGAUAAGUUACUGAUGAUCUUUCAAUCCACAUACCAUUUUAACAGUGGAAAAGGAAUUCUCAGCUAUCCUACAGGGUUGUACUAGUUAAAUGAGAUCCUGUAUGUCUAGCAACAAGUAAACUGUAACGGGCUCCCUAGCCCAGCACAUUUUAACAUAAGCACUUGUGGACUCUGGAAGCAGUGUGGUGAAGUGGUGAGUUCAGGCAUCUUGGGAGUCUGGCAGGCCUGGUGUAAAUACUGAACCUGCUGCCUGACCUCUGUGAGCCUGAUUUCCACAUGUGUAAAGUCAGGGUAAUACUGUCUGCCUUAUAUUCAAUGAAAUGUACCCACUAAUUGCAGUGGGUGCUGAGUAAAGGUUGGCCUCCACUCCUUUCUCUCCCUUGCACACACGUACUUGGGAUAAUGAGAUUGAUUAAGUCUUUCAGCAAUUAUCCUCGAGGGGAAAAGGCUUAAAGUACUUUUUUGUACUUAUCAAUAAUUCUUCUAGCCUUUUUGCCUUCCCAACCCAAGCCCCAGCAUGAAUAUUCCAGGGCCUGUAAUUGUCUGUCUUGUCUAAGAGAGAACUGAAAAAAAUCGUAAGCCAGAAAGGACAGGUCUUUGAUAGAAAGUUGAAAAUGGAUGUAGCUUGGUCUCCCUUUGCCCAUUUUGUGGCUUUCUUCCCUUUUUUAUUAAUUUUGCUGGACAGGGAAAAGAUACAGAAUUCAGGGGGUUCUAGCUGGGGGGGGGGCCUGGAAGAGGCUGUAGUGAAGGGCAGCUAGAGGGAGGAGUGUGAUCUGGCUGACGGUCAAAGCUAGAAUGUGGUGUGGGGGAAAUUUCUAUUAGAUGCAGGAUUUGGCUAAAUAUGGAGCCAAUUUCCAUCUAGUCCUUUAAGGCCCUCUUUUGGGACUUUGAAGUUUUUGUGCUCCAGGCAGAUUUUGACUGGUUGUGGUGGCAUCAUAAAUGAGUUUCCAUAGUAAAUUGUAUGCUGAAAGGAAAUUAAAUUCCAAAAGGGUGUUUGUUGUGACUGAUGCCAGAAUUUCUCUGAGAAUUUUAUUAAGAUUCAGUCUAUAAAAGUACUUCUUAAUACUCUGAAGAUAUUAUUUAGGAGAUAGUUUUUAAAAAGUAGAAGUAUUAUCUUUGUGAGCUUUUGAAAUGUCAUCUUCCUAAAUCUUUGGAGCAAAUGAGGCUCAAAACAUCAUAGAGACUUAUAUUUUAAAAGCAUUUCUUCCUAAAUGUAAUGUUUUCCUUCUCUUCCUGUUCCUUCCCUCCUCUCACAUUAUUUUGAUAAUGAGUUAAUUUUGGUUUCUUUCACAUUGUUGUGGCCUAAUUUCUAAAUUUAUGACCCUUCAUUUCUAGAUCUUGCAUGUAUGUAUUUUUCCCUUAAGUCAAUUCUCAUUCAUUAUGAAGAGCUUGUAUAGCAAGGUGGGAAAGAGAGAGGACCCUGGAGCUAGGCUGGCAAGAGCUAGGCUCUUUAGAACUUGGAUUCAGUCCUCACAGUAGCUCUGGGAGGCUGAUCAUGCUAUUCCCUACACACAGAUGUGGGAAUGGGUGCAGAAACACAUGUGUGUUCACACAGCCAGCAAGAGGUUAAUCUGAGUGUCAGCUGCAAUGAUCUGUAGGACUCCAAAGCCCAUGCUUCCAGCGAGAAAGGCAGGCAGGGGCCUUGCAUGCUGUGCCAGGGUUGGGACUUAGAACUAUAGGCAGAGAGGGUCAUGUUUGUAUUCUAGAAAGGUAACUUGGUGGCUGUAUGGAGUUUUGAAGUGAAGCAAGUAGAAAUUAGGAGUAGAGAAAUGAGCCCAUUAAAGUAAUUGUCUUGAGAGGUGACAAGGGCCUGAACGGAAGACAUUAAGACAGUGGCAAUGGUGGCGGAGAAGAGGGGACUUGUUGGAAUCCAUAGAGCUCAGUGCCUUUGGAUACUAGAAUUGAGGGAGGAAACAAAUCUGAGCCUUGCCUUUCCUUGUCUCAUCCCUUCCCAUUUCAGGUCUGAUGCCCCAGGGAUGGGUGUUGAAGAUGCUAUGUGCGGGCUAAAAAUCGCCGCAGAAACCAAGAGUACGUCCUUUUGUGUCUGCCGACAGCUAGAGAAAGGUGGCUGAGCGCAGUCGGAAAGGGCCUUCCCCUCCCUGUGCCACCCUAGCCUUAUAAUUCCUAACUUUCCAGGAGCAUCACAGAGGGUGGAAGUUGGAUUCUUGACUGCAUUUUGGGAAAUGCUAGUUUGAGCCAUCAAACUUAAGGUGAGAAGUGUGGAAGGGAAGACGGCUUCCUGGUGUGUUGUCUGCACACCUCUUUUCCCUGGUGACACAGGGGACCCACCAGCGUUUGGUCUUCAGUUCUGUAAGAGUUGAUCUGCUUUAGAUGGGGUUGACUUGUGGUCACCAAAUUUGCAGGGGUUGACUGGGAAGCAGGAGUGACUAUGAACAUAAUGGCCAGUCCCUAGAGGAGUCGAGGCCAGCCUCCUCUGAUGGGUGAAGUCUCUGCGGGGCGCCAAGCCAUGCUCAGGAGAGCGGGCUUCAGAGCACGGGGAGAUGGUUGGCUGAGAUCUCUGUUCCUGUCAUUGGUAGGAUGCACUGUUGCCACACCAGGAAUAUACUGGUCUCGUGCCCUCUCCUCUAGUCAGCGCCAGAUGUGGUAAUAAACUUGCUUUUGGGCUUCUGUUUUUCCAAGUUGUGCAACAUCCCUGCCCUUCUGAGAGUUUGUGCUGGCUCUGGUCAGGCCGGAGGUCAGGUGGUCAGAUUCUGGCUUUAUUUGGGCUGUGUUCUCACUGGGAGGAGGCAGCCAGGUUACCUCUGUUGGACCUGCCUGCUCCCAGCAUCAUCAGCCACAAGUGUCUCUGCGGUGAGUCACUCCAUGCAAGGGUCUGCUCACCCACUUUCUCCUUAAUGUUUACACCUGUCCCUCAAAGAGGGAACCUCUUCUCCUUGUUCUGAGGCCACUUCUCGGCAGUCCCCAAAAGUGUCCAGAAUAACUCAAGUCACCUGUACUGGAGAUCAGUUUGCUGAAAUUAUUCAAGCAACGAUUCUUGAAGUUGAAGAAAAGGAGGUUCCAGCCUUGACAAGUGUGGCCCUUCCUGGAAUCCCUCUGGACACACCCUUCUAGCAUCCUCUAGGAAAGAUGCGGCAGCUCAAAGGGAAGCCCAAGAAGGAGACCUCCAAGGACAAGAAAGAGCGGAAGCAAGCCAUGCAGGAGGCCCGGCAGCAGAUCACCACGGUGGUGCUGCCCACGCUGGCUGUGGUCGUGCUCUUGAUCGUGGUGUUUGUGUACGUGGCCACACGCCCCACCAUCACGGAGUGAGCCCUGCAGCUGGCCCGCAGACCCCAUCGGCAGGGAGAGGAGGUGCGGGAGGGGGGACGCAAACAAAAAUGGCUUUCAUAUUCAGAGAUGUUCAUGCUGCUGAGCUAUAAGCAGGAGCACCCUGUCUUUUCUGAUCUUUGACUUGAUUAAAGUAUCUCUGCUUUUCUUGGGAGGGAAUAGGGGAUGUUUUAUCAGUGAAUGUGCCAUACACCUUAUGGUCCACUUCAUGUGCCUUUCAGACUUCAAAGCGUGUGUGUGUGUGUGUGUGUGUGUGUGUUUGUGUGUGUUUCUAAGUAGCUCCACCUGAAGAGAGGGGCGGAACCUCUGGGUCAGGAAGCAGCUGGAAUCCGCACUCACCUCAUUCCCAUUGUUUGGAUCAUGCCUCUUUCCAGCACGUGUUCACAAUCUCCAAAGGGACUGUAUUUCUUCUCUGUGCUUAAUGUGAUUUGAAAUAUGUUGAAUCAAAGUGAAAUAUUUAUUUUUUGAAUAAAGGAGAUAAUAGCCUUAAA